UACGUAGGGUGCGAGCGUUGUCCGGAAUUAUUGGGCGUAAAGGGCUCGUAGGCGGUUUGUCGCGUCGGGCGUGAAAACUCAGGGCUUAACCCUGAGCCUGCUUCCGAUACGGGCAGACUAGAGGUAUGCAGGGGAGAACGGAAUUCCUGGUGUAGCGGUGAAAUGCGCAGAUAUCAGGAGGAACACCGGUGGUGAAGGCGGUUCUCUGGGCAUUACCUGACGCUGAGGAGCGAAAGUGUGGGGAGCGAACAGG
RNAcentral lists this ribosomal RNA (253 nucleotides) under uncultured bacterium. RNAcentral's name for it is "partial 16S ribosomal RNA". It matches the Rfam family "Bacterial small subunit ribosomal RNA", at positions 524 to 776 of the family's 1533-position model. The record is from RNAcentral.